Molecule: ribosomal RNA, 1463 nt
Filed under: uncultured Klebsiella sp.
Lineage: Bacteria; Pseudomonadati; Pseudomonadota; Gammaproteobacteria; Enterobacterales; Enterobacteriaceae
Description: bacterial SSU rRNA
Rfam family: Bacterial small subunit ribosomal RNA
Source: RNAcentral
AUUGAACGCUGGCGGCAGGCCUAACACAUGCAAGUCGAGCGGUAGCACAGAGAGCUUGCUCUCGGGUGACGAGCGGCGGACGGGUGAGUAAUGUCUGGGAAACUGCCUGAUGGAGGGGGAUAACUACUGGAAACGGUAGCUAAUACCGCAUAACGUCGCAAGACCAAAGUGGGGGACCUUCGGGCCUCAUGCCAUCAGAUGUGCCCAGAUGGGAUUAGCUAGUAGGUGGGGUAAUGGCUCACCUAGGCGACGAUCCCUAGCUGGUCUGAGAGGAUGACCAGCCACACUGGAACUGAGACACGGUCCAGACUCCUACGGGAGGCAGCAGUGGGGAAUAUUGCACAAUGGGCGCAAGCCUGAUGCAGCCAUGCCGCGUGUGUGAAGAAGGCCUUCGGGUUGUAAAGCACUUUCAGCGGGGAGGAAGGCGGUGAGGUUAAUAACCUUGUCGAUUGACGUUACCCGCAGAAGAAGCACCGGCUAACUCCGUGCCAGCAGCCGCGGUAAUACGGAGGGUGCAAGCGUUAAUCGGAAUUACUGGGCGUAAAGCGCACGCAGGCGGUCUGUCAAGUCGGAUGUGAAAUCCCCGGGCUCAACCUGGGAACUGCAUUCGAAACUGGCAGGCUAGAGUCUUGUAGAGGGGGGUAGAAUUCCAGGUGUAGCGGUGAAAUGCGUAGAGAUCUGGAGGAAUACCGGUGGCGAAGGCGGCCCCCUGGACAAAGACUGACGCUCAGGUGCGAAAGCGUGGGGAGCAAACAGGAUUAGAUACCCUGGUAGUCCACGCCGUAAACGAUGUCGAUUUGGAGGUUGUGCCCUUGAGGCGUGGCUUCCGGAGCUAACGCGUUAAAUCGACCGCCUGGGGAGUACGGCCGCAAGGUUAAAACUCAAAUGAAUUGACGGGGGCCCGCACAAGCGGUGGAGCAUGUGGUUUAAUUCGAUGCAACGCGAAGAACCUUACCUGGUCUUGACAUCCACAGAACUUUCCAGAGAUGGAUUGGUGCCUUCGGGAACUGUGAGACAGGUGCUGCAUGGCUGUCGUCAGCUCGUGUUGUGAAAUGUUGGGUUAAGUCCCGCAACGAGCGCAACCCUUAUCCUUUGUUGCCAGCGGUUAGGCCGGGAACUCAAAGGAGACUGCCAGUGAUAAACUGGAGGAAGGUGGGGAUGACGUCAAGUCAUCAUGGCCCUUACGACCAGGGCUACACACGUGCUACAAUGGCAUAUACAAAGAGAAGCGACCUCGCGAGAGCAAGCGGACCUCAUAAAGUAUGUCGUAGUCCGGAUUGGAGUCUGCAACUCGACUCCAUGAAGUCGGAAUCGCUAGUAAUCGUAGAUCAGAAUGCUACGGUGAAUACGUUCCCGGGCCUUGUACACACCGCCCGUCACACCAUGGGAGUGGGUUGCAAAAGAAGUAGGUAGCUUAACCUUCGGGAGGGCGCUUACCACUUUGUGAUUCAUGACUGGGGUGA